UAUGCCCUGUACCUUCAACAGGCAAUUCAUCGUCAGAAAAGCUGAUUCGAUUGACCUCAAAGAUUUUUCCAACUAUUUUCUCAAGUUGGUUGAUUGUAAUCUCCCUUGGAACAUAUGCUUCAUUUAAUACCUUCAGUAAAACAUCACGAUGCUCCUUGGAGUGCAACAACAAAGAUAAAAGGGAAAUUUGAGCAGGGGUUUUCUUCAACUGGUCUAAUAUUGAAUACUCUGGCAAUUUCAUCUUUUUCAAAAAUUCUUCGGCUUCUUCUUCGGUGAUAGGCUUUUUGAUAGAUGACG
Molecule: long non-coding RNA, 297 nt
Filed under: Capsicum annuum
Lineage: Eukaryota; Viridiplantae; Streptophyta; Magnoliopsida; Solanales; Solanaceae
Description: long non-coding RNA (CANN_LNC003135)
Source: RNAcentral